This 1500-nucleotide ribosomal RNA is filed under the name uncultured marine bacterium. RNAcentral's name for it is "bacterial SSU rRNA". It matches the Rfam family "Bacterial small subunit ribosomal RNA". The record is from RNAcentral.
GAGUUUGAUCAUGGCUCAGGAUGAACGCUAGCGGCAGGCUUAACACAUGCAAGUCGAGGGGUAACAGAGGUAGCUUGCUACUUGCUGACGACCGGCGCACGGGUGCGUAACGCGUAUAGAAUCUACCUUGUACUAGGGGAUAGCCUUUGGAAACGAAGAUUAAUACCCUAUAGUAAGUAUUUAUGGCAUCAUUUAUACUUUAAAGGUUACGGUACAAGAUGACUAUGCGUCCUAUUAGUUUGUUGGUGAGGUAACGGCUCACCAAGACUUCGAUAGGUAGGGGCCCUGAGAGGGGGAUCCCCCACACUGGUACUGAGACACGGCCCAGACUCCUACGGGAGGCAGCAGUGGGGAAUAUUGGACAAUGGGCGCAAGCCUGAUCCAGCCAUACCGCGUGUGUGAAGAAGGCCUUCGGGUUGUAAAGCACUUUAAGCAGGGAGAAAAAGUUAUAAGUUAAUACCUUAUAACCCUGAUGUUACCUGCAGAAUAAGCACCGGCUAAUUCCGUGCCAGCAGCCGCGGUAAUACGGAAGGUGCAAGCGUUAAUCGGAAUUACUGGGCGUAAAGCGCGCGUAGGUGGUUUGUUAAGUUGGAUGUGAAAGCCCUGGGCUCAACCUAGGAACUGCAUCCAAAACUAACUCACUAGAGUACGAUAGAGGGAGGUAGAAUUCAUAGUGUAGCGGUGGAAUGCGUAGAUAUUAUGAAGAAUACCAGUGGCGAAGGCGGCCUCCUGGAUCUGUACUGACACUGAGGUGCGAAAGCGUGGGUAGCGAACAGGAUUAGAUACCCUGGUAGUCCACGCCGUAAACGAUGACAACUAGCUGUUGGGAGACUAUGUCUUUCAGUGGCGCAGCUAACGCUUUAAGUUGUCCGCCUGGGGAGUACGGCCGCAAGGCUAAAACUCAAAUGAAUUGACGGGGACCCGCACAAGCGGUGGAGCAUGUGGUUUAAUUCGAUGCAACGCGAAAAACCUUACCUACUCUUGACAUACUUGGAGGCUCUUGUAAUGAGAGUGUGCCUUUUGGAACCAAGAUACAGGUGCUGCAUGGCUGUCGUCAGCUCGUGUCGUGAGAUGUUCCGUUAAGUCGGAUAACGAGCGCAACCCUUACCCUUAUUUGCCAGCGAUUCGGUCGGGAACUAUAAGGGGACUGCCGGUGAUAAACCGGAGGAAGGUGGGGACGACGUCAAGUCAUCAUGGCCCUUACGACCAGGGCUACACACGUGCUACAAUGGAGCGUACAAAGGGUUGCAACCCCGCGAGGGUGAGCUAAUCCCAUAAAACGUUUCGUAGUCCGGAUCGCAGUCUGCAACUCGACUGCGUGAAGUCGGAAUCGCUAGUAAUCGUAGAUCAGAAUGCUACGGUGAAUACGUUCCCGGGCCUUGUACACACCGCCCGUCACACCAUGGGAGUGGGUUGCAAAAGAAGUGGGUAGCAUAACCUUCGGGAGUGCGCUCACCACUUUGUGAUUCAUGACUGGGGUGAAGUCGUAACAAGGUAACC